CAAGUCGAGCGAGGCGGAGGGGGCAACUCCUUCCAGUCGAGCGGCGGACGGGUGAGUAACACGUGGGUAACCUGCCCGGAAGUGGGGAAUACCUCGGAGAAAUUCGAGCUAAUACCGCAUGACAUCUUCGGGACGAAAGUCCUGACGAUCAAAGCGGGGUCGCAAGAUCUCGCGCUACCGGAUGGGCCCGCGCCCGAUUAGCUAGUUGGUGAGGUAACGGCUCACCAAGGCUUCGAUCGGUAACCGGCCUGAGAGGGCGAUCGGUCACACCGGAACUGAGACACGGUCCGGACUCCUACGGGAGGCAGCAGUGGGGAAUCUUGCGCAAUGGGCGAAAGCCUGACGCAGCAACGCCGCGUGGAGGAUGAAGGCCCUUGGGUUGUAAACUCCUGUCGGCUGGGAAGAAAUCGUUCGUGGCUCAUACCCACGGACGUUGACUGUACCAGCAAAGGAAGCCCCGGCUAACUCUGUGCCAGCAGCCGCGGUAAUACAGAGGGGGCUAGCGUUAUUCGGAAUUAUUGGGCGUAAAGGGCGCGUAGGCGGCCAUGCGUGUCUUCCGUGAAAUCCCUCGGCUUAACUGAGGACGUGCGGAAGAAACUGCAAGGCUCGAGUCCGGGAGAGGGGGGUGGAAUUCCCAGUGUAGCGGUGAAAUGCGUAGAUAUUGGGAGGAACACCGGUGGCGAAGGCGGCCCCCUGGACCGGUACUGACGCUGAGGCGCGAAAGCGUGGGUAGCAAACGGGAUUAGAUACCCCGGUAGUCCACGCCGUAAACCAUGGGCACUUGGUGUCGCGGGUAUCGACCCCUGCGGUGCCGAAGCUAACGCAUUAAGUGCCCCGCCUGGGGAGUACGGUCGCAAGGCUGAAACUCAAAGGAAUU
RNAcentral lists this ribosomal RNA (877 nucleotides) under uncultured Acidobacteriota bacterium. RNAcentral's name for it is "bacterial SSU rRNA". It matches the Rfam family "Bacterial small subunit ribosomal RNA", at positions 58 to 911 of the family's 1533-position model. Lineage: Bacteria; Pseudomonadati; Acidobacteriota. The record is from RNAcentral.